GGGAGCCCAGGCAGAGGAGGCGCCCAGAGCGAGCGAGGGCUGUGAGGACUGCCAGCACGCUGUCACCUCUCACUCAUAUAGAUUGCCAAUCUAUUUGUGAACCAGGUUUGCUGGAGUUUGGAUUUACUACUGAGUCAUAUUUGGAGCAUGCUGGAAUCUUACAACUGAGAUUACCGAGUCAGAAACUUGCAAACAUGAGUAACAUGGCCCUGCUCUGGAGACUACUGGGAACACAAACACAGCCAUUUAAGACAUCUACCUGCUUCUCCUUUGCCUUCCAUCAUGACUGAAAGUUGUCUGAGGUCUCCCAGCCACGUGUCCUGUACAGCCUGUGGAACUGUGGUACAGUUGAAGAAAGAGCUCAACUCUGGCAAAGGGAGACCAAGAGUAACCUCUGGUGUGGAAGUUGGCUGAGCACUCAGUGCCUGACUGUGCUAUACUCCUGUUGGACAUGAGCUGUCUCUCAGAACACCAAUUCAGACAAGGUUACUCCAAGACUAUGAUACAAUAAAGCAAAGCAAGGAUACUUCGUAAUUUUGUGGAAGCACAGACAAAAUCAAUAUCAGUAUGCCACCUACAAAAGACCAAACAGCCCUUCUCUUGGCCAAAAUGAGUGAUGUCUACUUCUUUACUAAUGAAGUUUUAUUUUUGUUCUAGUCAGCUCUCCAUCCAGAUGAGAUUUUUUGAGAUACCCAAUCUUAUAAUUGCCUCCAGCUUUCUGACAGCAUCUAAUUUUGGCAAACUCUCCCCUCCUUCUGUCCUCUCCCAAAUGACCUAACCUAAACCCCAAAUCUACAGAAAGUUAUUUCUAUUACCAUCUUACUGAGA
Molecule: long non-coding RNA, 828 nt
Filed under: Homo sapiens (human)
Lineage: Eukaryota; Metazoa; Chordata; Mammalia; Primates; Hominidae
Description: HSALNT0350447
Source: RNAcentral